RNAcentral lists this ribosomal RNA (365 nucleotides) under uncultured bacterium. RNAcentral's name for it is "partial 16S ribosomal RNA". It matches the Rfam family "Bacterial small subunit ribosomal RNA", at positions 338 to 700 of the family's 1533-position model. The record is from RNAcentral.
CCUACGGGUGGCAGCAGUGAGGAAUAUUGGUCAAUGGGCGCGAGCCUGAACCAGCCAAGUAGCGUGAAGGAUGACGGCCCUACGGGUUGUAAACUUCUUUUAUAAAGGAAUAAAGUGAGGCACGUGUGCCUUGUUGUAUGUACUUUAUGAAUAAGGAUCGGCUAACUCCGUGCCAGCAGCCGCGGUAAUACGGAGGAUCCGAGCGUUAUCCGGAUUUAGUGGGUGUAAAGGGAGCGUAGAGGGGUUGUGAAGUCAGUUGUGAAAGUUUGCGGCUCAACCGUAAAAGGGCAAUUGAUACUGGCAUCCUUGAGUACAGUUGCGGUAGGCGGCCUUCGUGGUGUAGCUGUGCAAUGCUUAGCUAUCAC